Molecule: transfer RNA, 68 nt
Filed under: Trigonopterus tanimbarensis
Lineage: Eukaryota; Metazoa; Arthropoda; Insecta; Coleoptera; Curculionidae
Description: tRNA-Trp
Rfam family: tRNA
About the family: Transfer RNA (tRNA) molecules are approximately 80 nucleotides in length.
Source: RNAcentral
AAGAAUUUAAGUUAAUAUAUUAAACUAUUAGCCUUCAAAGCUUAAAAUAGAUACAAAUCUAAUUCUUA